RNA transcript from Poeciliopsis prolifica (blackstripe livebearer), 1254 nucleotides. It is a transcript of the gene named MICOS complex subunit mic25-a-like, with no coding region annotated. The transcript is spliced from 10 exons. The record is from RefSeq and is a predicted model, not a curated record. NCBI's taxonomy places the organism in Eukaryota, Metazoa, Chordata, Actinopteri, Cyprinodontiformes, Poeciliidae.
UGACCUUUAUUGGAGUAUAUUGACAAGUCGUUGCUGUGGCGCCGACUCCGACUACCGUGUCAUUAAUGUCUACCUGCUGUUAGAACCGUUAAUAAGCGAGGUUGUGAUUUUUUAUUUUAUCCCGUGGAGACGGGCAGCUAUCCACUCAGGAUGGGAGGAAAUGGGAGCAAAGCGAGGACUGUAUCUUUCAGGCUGGACGAACACGAGAAGGUCACAGUAGUUGAAGGAGUGAAGCUUUCUGAGAAUGUCCGCCGGCGGAUGAGGGAAUCUGCUGGUUCGGAAAGAACUUGGAGUUUGCCAUCUGGUCCAGACAUUAAAAAGACAUCACCAAGUUCAAAAUCUGCAGAAACAUCAUCUUUGCAGACACAGGAAGAGAUGCGUAAAAACUAUGAGCGUCAACAGGCUCUGCUGGAGGAGCAGCUGGCCAAGCUCAGCCAGAGGGAGAGAGAGUCUUCAGCCAUCAAAGACAUGGAUAGGAGCAGCCCUUCUGCAUACGGAGAGAAAAGUUAUGAAAAGAGCGACGUACUGCCAGCAGAUUUGAAUGCGUGGGCUAGACUGUUGGAGCGGAAAGAACAGGAGCUGGCCACAAUCCAGAGUUUCUACAAAGAGCAAUUAGAAAUGAUGGAGAAAAAAAACCUUGAGAACUACAAGCAGACAGCUGAAGAGUACUUUGAGGCCGCAGCUAAAAUUGGAGAGCGGAUACGGCCCCAGUACAUUUCAACCAUGUGCCCUGAGCUGCAGGCCAAAGUGCUUCAAUGCUAUAAUGAAAACCCAAAGCAGACACUGCACUGCUCCAAACUGGCUAGACAGUACAUAGACUGUGUUCAGCAAGGGAAAAAGUGAGACAACGAAGAGUUACUGUUACGAAAGUGAACUUUCUCCAAAGGCUACAUUUGCUUCCUUCCAUUGUGUUAAUGCUGUUGGAGCUGUGCAGCUGUUCACCCCAGAAAUAACAGAGCGGUGUGACAAAUCAUGGCUGAGAAAUGCAAGAAUAGCCGAAACAAGGGGUGCAGUGAAGCAAUGAAGAAACAAAAAUCAUAUCAAAUCCGUCCAUUAUUUUUUCCUUCUUCUAAAUCAACUUUACUUAUCUGUCCACACAUCUGUUUAGCCACCAAUAUGUAUUAACCACCAUUUCUCACAUGCCCUUUUUUGUUUUUUUUCUUUGUUUGUUUUCUUUCUCUGAAUCUAAUACGUGUUGAUUUAAUGCCAAGUUGUGCCAGAGCUCGUUCCAAAAUAAAUUCUCAUAAUCCGGUG